UCCUCAGUAGCUCCAUGGUAGAGCGGUCGGCUGUUAACCGAUUGGUUGUAGGUUCGAAUCCUACUUGGGGAG
This 72-nucleotide transfer RNA is filed under the name Beta vulgaris subsp. vulgaris (sugar beet). RNAcentral's name for it is "tRNA tRNA-Asn". It matches the Rfam family "tRNA". Rfam says of the family: Transfer RNA (tRNA) molecules are approximately 80 nucleotides in length. Lineage: Eukaryota; Viridiplantae; Streptophyta; Magnoliopsida; Caryophyllales; Amaranthaceae. The record is from Rfam by way of RNAcentral.